Molecule: ribosomal RNA, 567 nt
Filed under: uncultured eukaryote
Lineage: Eukaryota
Description: eukaryotic LSU rRNA
Rfam family: Eukaryotic large subunit ribosomal RNA
Source: RNAcentral
GAACGGGCAAGGAGCCGGGGUCGCCCGAUCGGACCCCGGACGUGAAGUCGACGAUGGUCGGUGGGCUGGUUUUGGUAAGCAGAACGGGCGAUUCGGGAUGAACCGGAAGCGGGGAGAAAGGGCCCGAGAUUGCGUCGACGCGGAUCCCGAAAAGGGCGUCGAUCCGUCGCGACAGCGGGACGGUGGUCAUGGAAGUCGAAAUCCGCUAAGAAGCGUGUAAAAACGUACCCGCCCAACGGAUCGGCCCCGAAAAUUGAUGGCGCUCGAACGCAACCCUCGAACCCCGCCGACGGAGGCUAGGGGAGGCCCCGUCGAGUAGGCGGACGCGCGGGUCGCUUCGACGCUCUCGCGCGAGCGGGGGCGGAGCGGCCCGUGGUGCAGAUCUUGGUGGUAGUAGCGAUCACCCAGGCGAGAACCCUGAGGGCCGAAGUGGAGAAGGGUUUCUCGAGAACGGCACUCGCUCGAGAGUUAGUCGAUCCUAAGCUGCCGGCGGCAGCCACGAAACGGUCGAUCGGGCGCGAGCCCGGCAGCCACGACCGGGCAGCGAAAGGGAAUUGGGAACCUCCU